GGAGUGUUGNGAUGGCUAAGGUUAUAAAAACUAAACUAACAAAUGUGCUGAUUAUCUUUGCAAACCUUUCUGUAAUAUUCGAAACACCAAUACAUUUUCUAAUUUUCUGAACCAACUCUUGUCCUUGGGUAAACGAAACAGCUAUAUCCUUCAAAUUGCUUGCAAGAAAAGAAAAGAUUAUAAAUUGGCAAUUAAAUACAUCCUAUAUUAUAUAUUAGAAUGCAUACAGAAUGCAACCGCAACAAAUGCUAGCGUUCAUGACAAUUGAAGAUUAGAAACAAAACAACAAAAGAGUACUGCUUCUGAGAAGUAAGCUGGAACUGUGCAGGAAUGUGCAAAUUAUGAAUAGGACUUUAAGAUCUCACUUAACAAAUGUGUUACUUUAUUUGAACAAAUUCUCGGAACCAAAUGCAACAAAAGACAGCCCAGAACAUAGAUGGGGUACUAAUUAAUAGGAUAUCCCUCUUAUCAUUAGCUUUAAAAUUGAAAAAAAAAUAGAUUUUAUUCACAAAACUUGACUGUUGAAACAAAGCUAGAUUGGAAAACAGGUUCUACUAAUUCUAAAGCAGAAUGCACGAAAUGUCUCCUAUAUUGUUUUUACUUCCCUUCAAACUUUAUCAGCGCUUGCGAAUGAAACUACGAGAGAGAGCUCGAACAAAUUGCAGUCAAAGCUUCAAAUUAUGCAGCCCCAAAUCCGAACAUAUUCAAAUAAUAUAUUUUGCUUGUUCGCCAUCACUUUAAUUAUCACAUAUUUGGUGUAACUAGAAUGAGACAAACUAAUCAAGAGAAGUAAAAUAACAAAAUUUGGACAAACCUAAUGAUCUCAAAGAAAUUCAUGCUGGACCAGAUCAGAUUUUUCCUUUUUAAAAAAAAAAUUAAAAAAAAAUAAAAGUAAAAUAAACAAGAUGAAAGCUAGCUAUAAGAAACCACUUGUUGAAUCUCAUUCAAACACCAAACCAUCCACCAGGAAAAGAUCGAAUCGGAGACAUACAACAUCAAUCGUGUAGGUCGACAUCAAGGAAACAAUAAAUUCACAACAAACAUCACUAAUCUAGACUAGCAAUUCAGAAGAUAAAGUAUAAGAACAAGAUGAACCUGCUUAACAAAUCUUCCUUUAACGUGACAGAGAUUCCCAACAAAUACAAUAGCAAGAGAAAUGUCGCUGCUACAAGUAAGCUCACAGCAAUCGGAACUCAGACGGAGACCAUUAAACCUAUGUCCUUAAAAUAGCUCAAAUCGAACCACUAGAACAACAAGAAAUCUCAGACCAUCUCCAUUUUUAACCCAAAAUUCUAAAUUUGAAACAGAAACCAAAGGAAAGAACAAAAGACAACAACAUUUUUUAUGUUUGUGCCAUUCAGGAAAUUAAAAUCGAAAAGUUUUUUUACUAGAGAAGAGAAAGACUCCUGAGUUCUGAACCCUAGCUCUCUUCUCCGAAUUUUUCUCCCUAAGAAUCCUCUCUAAUUUCUCAACCCCCCCCCCCCCCCCAAUUUAGGGGAUUAGAUACUAUUAUAUAGGGGUAGAGAUUAGGUUUGGGGUUUGUGCCUAGGAAUUAUGGGCUUGGGAAUUAUGGGCUAGGUCCAAAAUUAAGCCUAAAGAUGGGUUGCUCGAGCCCAAGCUUUAUUCUUUCCCCGCGAACGAGAUUAAAAAUGCGACCUUAUUUAUUAAAUAAUCCUACUUAAGUAAAAUAACUAUUAAAAUAAGACUGGCCGUUAAAACGAAACUAUUUUUGGUAUUUUUU
Molecule: long non-coding RNA, 1741 nt
Filed under: Nicotiana tabacum (common tobacco)
Lineage: Eukaryota; Viridiplantae; Streptophyta; Magnoliopsida; Solanales; Solanaceae
Description: long non-coding RNA (NTAB_LNC008452)
Source: RNAcentral